UUUAAAUGACAUGCACGUACAUGUACAAUGCAUCUCAAAAUUUUCUUAAAUUUGUUAAAGAUUACAUGAUUAUCAUUUUGAAUUUUACCAUGCAGUAAAGAAGCUCCAAGAAGAAAAGAAUGAAUUGGGUCAACAGUAUGCAGCAAAAAUAGAUGUAUUAGAAGAAGUACAGAAAGAGGAGAGAGAUACUCUGACACUUAAACUGUCACAAUUAGAGAUUGGUUUGAGAGAAAUAGAGACACAAUGGAAAGAGAAGUAUCGUGGGGACAUUGAAUUAGAGCAACAAGAACUGUACGAUGAGAAUCAA
Amphimedon queenslandica is the source of this 307-nucleotide long non-coding RNA. RefSeq lists it as uncharacterized. NCBI's taxonomy places the organism in Eukaryota, Metazoa, Porifera, Demospongiae, Haplosclerida, Niphatidae. The record is from RefSeq and is a predicted model, not a curated record. The transcript has 3 exons.